GAUGAAGAACGCAGCGAAAUGCGAUAAGUAGUGUGAAUUGCAGAAUUCAGUGAAUCAUCGAAUCUUUGAACGCACAUUGCGCCCCUUGGUAUUCCAUGGGGCAUGCCUGUUCGAGCGUCAUUUGUACCUUCAAGCUUUGCUUGGUGUUGGGUGUUUGUCUCGCCUUUGCGUGUAGACUCGCCUUAAAAUAAUUGGCAGCCGGCGUAUUGAUUUCGGAGCGCAGUACAUCUCGCGCUUUGCACUCAUAACGACAGCGUCCAAAAGUACAUUUUACACUCUUGACCUCGGAUCAGGUAGAGAUACCCGCUGAACUUAAGCAUAUCAAUAAGCGGAGGA
RNAcentral lists this unclassified non-coding RNA (336 nucleotides) under soil metagenome. RNAcentral's name for it is "partial contains 5.8S ribosomal RNA, internal transcribed spacer 2, and large subunit ribosomal RNA". The stretch from base 1 to 120 matches the Rfam family "5.8S ribosomal RNA", at positions 35 to 154 of the family's 154-position model. The record is from RNAcentral.